CGAGAGACACACAAGCGUAUCCUCCGUCCGACAGAAAGCCCACUUUGCAGAACGUGGUCGCUACCGCAACCCUUGGGGCGAAGCUAGACCUGAAGCUCCUCUCUAGAUCCGCGCGAAACACCGAGUAUCGACCAAGACGCUUCGCGGCGGUGGUUUCGCGCUUUGAAAAGCCCAAAGCGACGGUGCUCAUUUUUGAAACCGGCAAGAUUGUCUGCACGGGCGCCAAGACGGAAGACGAUGCCAUCGCGGCCGCCAAAAGAUGUUCGAAAAUGGUCAGAGACAACUUGAAAAUUAACUGCAAAGCAAAAGAGUUUAGGAUACAGAACAUGGUCGCGAACUGUUCGAUAGGAUUUUUGAUUCGCUUGGACGCGCUGGCGCUAGAGCACUCAUCUUUUGCUCAGUACGAGCCGGACAUGUUUCCGGGACUCAUUUACCGGAUGCAGAAGCCUAAGCUGGUGCUGCUGAUCUUCGUGUCUGGGAAGAUCAUCUUUACCGGUGCCAAGUCGGAAGAGGACAUUUUGACCGCGUGGAGCCUGAUAUAUAGCGUCUUAGUACAGUUUCGAAAGGUGUCAUAAAAAAACAAAAAGAGGUGUAAAUAAACUUGUUCAUAGCACAUUUGAAAG
Molecule: long non-coding RNA, 623 nt
Organism: Schistocerca gregaria
Lineage: Eukaryota; Metazoa; Arthropoda; Insecta; Orthoptera; Acrididae
Exons: 2
Source: RefSeq, a predicted model, not a curated record